RNAcentral lists this long non-coding RNA (203 nucleotides) under Ananas comosus (pineapple). Its description in RNAcentral is "long non-coding RNA (ACOM_LNC038680)". The record is from RNAcentral. Lineage: Eukaryota; Viridiplantae; Streptophyta; Magnoliopsida; Poales; Bromeliaceae.
UGGGGGUAUUUCCGGCACAUUGGUGUGCUCGGAUUAAUGUUACGAAAAACCAAUGUAAAGAUAUGAGCAAAAUGGCCUAAUAGGGCUUCGUUUUGCCGCAGGUAGCAAACGAAGAGGCUAAAAAUCCCAAGAAAAUCGUUGUAGCAUCCUAGUAUGUCUACGAGGUGGGUUGUAGCACACUGGACCUGUCACGCCCCGGGACC